This 169-nucleotide ribosomal RNA is filed under the name uncultured cyanobacterium. RNAcentral describes it as "partial 23S ribosomal RNA". It matches the Rfam family "Bacterial large subunit ribosomal RNA", at positions 1 to 183 of the family's 2925-position model. The record is from RNAcentral. Lineage: Bacteria; Bacillati; Cyanobacteriota.
GGUCAAGCUACAAAGGGCUCAUGGCGGAUACCUUGGCACACAGAGGCGAUGAAGGACGUGGUUACCUGCGAUAUGUCUCGGGGAGCUGGAUACACGCUUUGAUCCGGGAAUUUCCGAAUGGGGCAACCCUUAGAACGGCCAGCUGAAUACAUAGGCUGGCACGAGCCAA